AUGAAAAUCUCAUCCCAUCGGGUUUCUGAUGAUGAUGGACUUGGGUGCUGCCAUCUGGCUUGCCUUAAAAGUGUUAGUGGUUCCAAAGUUGAAUCUGGCGUAAUAAGUUUCGCUGGCCAAGACCGAAGGCUACUCAUAACCUGUCUUUUGACAUCUUUUGCUCUGACCUCAAAUCAGGUAGGACUACCCGCUGAACUUAA
RNAcentral lists this unclassified non-coding RNA (200 nucleotides) under soil metagenome. Its description in RNAcentral is "partial contains internal transcribed spacer 2 and large subunit ribosomal RNA". The record is from RNAcentral.